UCUUUGCAAUCGAAUUAAGGUUGUGUUUUUGCUUUUUUUGAAAACACAUUAAAAGGGAAGCAAGUGAUUGAAGAUUGCUGAUUAGCGAUUUAUGAUUUUAAAUCUAAAAUCAAAAUUCUAAAAUUAAAAUUCAAAAAUCUUGCGCUGUUCCCGCAACUGUAAGCUAUCAAGCUUGUUGUUAUCUACAAAACCACUGUCUCGUCCUAAGACGAGAUGGGAAGGUCAACAACAAGACGCAAGCCAGGAGACCUGCCUUUUUUCUUAACUAAUA
This 271-nucleotide non-coding RNA is filed under the name Flavobacterium sp. Lineage: Bacteria; Pseudomonadati; Bacteroidota; Flavobacteriia; Flavobacteriales; Flavobacteriaceae. The record is from RNAcentral.